UACGUAGGGUGCGAGCGUUAAUCGGAAUUACUGGGCGUAAAGCGUGCGCAGGCGGUUCGUUAAGUUCGUUGUGAAAGCCCCGGGCUCAACCUGGGAACUGCAAUGGAAACUGGCGAGCUUGAGUGUGGCAGAGGGGGGUGGAAUUCCGCGUGUAGCAGUGAAAUGCGUAGAGAUGCGGAGGAACACCGAUGGCGAAGGCAGCCCCCUGGGCCAACACUGACGCUCAGGCACGAAAGCGUGGGGAGCAAACAGG
Molecule: ribosomal RNA, 253 nt
Filed under: uncultured bacterium
Lineage: Bacteria
Description: partial 16S ribosomal RNA
Rfam family: Bacterial small subunit ribosomal RNA
Source: RNAcentral